This 176-nucleotide unclassified non-coding RNA is filed under the name uncultured Lecanicillium. RNAcentral's name for it is "sequence contains ITS2". The record is from RNAcentral. Lineage: Eukaryota; Fungi; Ascomycota; Sordariomycetes; Hypocreales; Cordycipitaceae.
CAACCCUCAAGCCCGACUUUUCCUUGGAGAAGAACCGGCUUGGUGUUGGGGACCGGCAGUUCCGCCGCCCCCGAAAACCAUUGGCGGCCCUUCGAGGCGACCUCUGCGUAGUAACCUAACCUCGCACUGGGAAGCUUGGAGCGGCCACGCCGUAAAACCCCCGACUUUUAUCAAGG